GAUGAACGCUGGCGGCGUGCCUAACACAUGCAAGUCGAGCGAACAGACCAUGAUCUUGCUCCUCGCACGUGAGCCGCGGACGUGUGAGUAACACGUGUAUAAUCUACCUAUAAGACUGGUAUCAUUUCGGGAAACCGGCUCUAAUACCGUAGAAUAUCUUGAACCAUAUGGGGGAAUAGUAAAUUACGGCUGUUCUGUCUGUACUAGCUGGAUCCGCGCCGGAUUGGAUGGUUGGUGGGUUAACGGCUUUCCAAGGGGAGCAGGCGUAGCCGACCUGAGGGGGUGAUCGGCCACACUGGAACUGAGCCACGGUCCAGGGUCCUACGGGAGGCCGCAGUAGGGAAUCUUCGGCAAUGGGCGAAAGCAUGGCGGAGCGGCGCGGCGUGAGUGAUAACAGUGUUGGGUUCGUAAAACUGUGUUAUUAGGGAAGAACAAAUGUGUAAGGAAAUGUGGCCGUAUUGACGGUAACUAAUAAGAAAGCACCGGCUAACUACGUG
RNAcentral lists this ribosomal RNA (497 nucleotides) under uncultured bacterium. Its description in RNAcentral is "partial 16S ribosomal RNA". It matches the Rfam family "Bacterial small subunit ribosomal RNA", at positions 28 to 507 of the family's 1533-position model. The record is from RNAcentral.